AUUGAAAUACCGGUUCUCGUACAAUCACCAAAGUUAAGGUACGCCCAGACUGGAUAGUACCUAGAUGGGUGACCGCUUUGGAAUACCAGGUGCUGUAA
This is a non-coding RNA of Acanthosepion pharaonis, 98 nucleotides long. NCBI's taxonomy places the organism in Eukaryota, Metazoa, Mollusca, Cephalopoda, Sepiida, Sepiidae. The record is from the annotation of a GenBank genome assembly.